This is a long non-coding RNA of Macrobrachium nipponense, 1642 nucleotides long. RefSeq lists it as uncharacterized. The transcript has 5 exons. The record is from RefSeq and is a predicted model, not a curated record. NCBI's taxonomy places the organism in Eukaryota, Metazoa, Arthropoda, Malacostraca, Decapoda, Palaemonidae.
CUGUGCGAUGGUGAAUAGUGAUUCGUUUCGUGUUGGCAAGACGCUUGGCAGUUGUGAUAUAACAAGUGAAUUGAUCCUUUCAUUAUGUUGCAUCUGAACCGUAACCAACUUAAUCUUUACAUGCACAAGUCCCAGAGAGAAUGGUGAUCGUUAGGUGAAAAGUCAUCCUGACUGCCGGACAUUUUGCUAUAUCAAAUAGAUAAACUUCGGUCUACUAGGUCUAUGACUCUAUGUGUAGGCGUACAUGAUAGUCUAAUUUGCUGGCACGAGUUAGCAGGCAUUAAGUUUUUUUUUUUUUUUUUUUUAUGACUACUGGUUCACACCAGUCCUCGUAUGUACGGUAAGCUAUUCGACAUUUUAGUUGUGGCCGAAAGAACACAGCCGUUGAAUUCUUGUUGACUUUAUCCCGCCAAAUCUUUAGGAUUUAUAAUUCCACUUGGUGCAUCACGGUGAUCAAUCAAUCUUCUGAUCUCAGUUUGUACUGAAUUUGCAUUGUAAACCUCUGAACGAACGCACAGGUUCAAACUAAUUUCAAGCCAACGAAGUGAAUGUAGUUGCAUACUCUGUGCUCGAAAAGUCCUGGGCUUUGUAAGUGCAGCUCAAGAUGACGUCUGCCAAAAUCGUCGUCCUGGUCAUCUCACUGAUUCUCUUCGAACGCGGAGCUGAGUCGGUAGAUGAAGGUGCUCCAGAACGCCCUCUCCAGGAAGAACCUUGCUCCCGCACAGGGGGAAUAUGUGCCUUUGAGGAGUUCUGUCCCACCAAGUUUGAGGAUACCUGAAAAGGGUCUGUGUCCCAAUCAACAGUAUAAAGGCGUGGAGUGCUGCAGGACGGUUCCUCUCAACUCACGCAGCUGCCGAGACAGAGGCGGCGAAUGUUUCGUAGCCGAAAGCUGUCGAAAGGUACCAGGUCCCUUUGCAACUUGCCCAAAGGGAGAAGUUUGUUGUCUUCUCGAAUGAACUCCGGGUCUGGUUAGUAAGUCUUGUCGACUAAUAAUUCUUCGAGACUUCUGGGAUGAAGCCCUGCUAACUUUGUCUCUGAAGGCGUCGGGGUUUGAGACCUGGUGGAGUUAUUCUCAAAGUUCCAGUUGGCUUCAUCACCUGCAGAAACUGUAUGGGAACUGCGUUGACUACUUCUUUGGAACAUAAUUGGUAGAGUUAAUAUUAUUAUUUUUCAGAAGAUGAACCCUAUUCAUACGGAACAAGGCCCGCCACAGGGGCCACCUGACUUGGAAUUCAAGCUCCCACAGACUAUAUGGUGCUCACUCGAAAGAAUGAAUAGAAGGUAACAGGAAACAUAGGAAGCGAUCAGUUAUUCGAUCAUAAAACAUAAACUAAUAAGUAAAUAAAUAGAUAAAAAAUAGCUAUUGAUAGGCCUAUAUGGUACACGUGAAUUCCAUUUAUUUGAUUAAUAUAAUAACUUUCCGGUAGCUUGUUGCGUUAGUCAAUUUAGUUAUGAAUAGGCCUAGUACAUGACACGUGUGAUUUCUGACUGUUUUGAUAUUUUCAACAGCUAAUGAUAUUGGGUUGGAGGAUUUAGUUACGAAUAGGCCUAUAUGAUAGACGUGAUUUCUUUUUAGAUAUAAGUGUUGUGUAGUACACUUUACAACAAUUUUGAGUUUAAUAAACGUUUCCAACCAUUUAAA